This 440-nucleotide ribosomal RNA is filed under the name uncultured bacterium. RNAcentral describes it as "partial 16S ribosomal RNA". It matches the Rfam family "Bacterial small subunit ribosomal RNA", at positions 338 to 795 of the family's 1533-position model. The record is from RNAcentral.
CCUACGGGAGGCUGCAGUGGGGAAUAUUGCACAAUGGGGGAAACCCUGAUGCAGCGACGCCGCGUGAGUGAAGAAGUAUUUCGGUCUGUAAAGCUCUAUCAUCAGGGAAGAAAAUGACGGUACCUGACUCAGAAGCCCUGGCUAACUACGUGCCAGCAGCCGCGGUAAUACGUAGGGGGCAAGCGUUAUCCGAAUUUACUGGGUGUAAGGGGAGCGUAGACGGCUAAUCAAGUCGCAAGUGAAAACCCAGGGCUCAACCUUGGGACUGCCUUUGAAACUGAGUAGCUAGAGUGCAGGAGAGGUAGGCGGAAUUCCUAGUGUAGCGGUGAAAUGCGUAGAUAUUAGGAGGAACACCAGUUGCGAAGGCGGCUUACUGGACUGUAACUGACGUUGAGGCUCGAAAGCGUGGGGAGCAAACAGGAUUAGAUACCCCUGUAGUC